This is a long non-coding RNA of Helianthus annuus (common sunflower), 1105 nucleotides long. RefSeq lists it as uncharacterized. NCBI's taxonomy places the organism in Eukaryota, Viridiplantae, Streptophyta, Magnoliopsida, Asterales, Asteraceae. The record is from RefSeq and is a predicted model, not a curated record. The transcript is spliced from 4 exons.
UUAGUGUGAACAACCCAAAAACCAUCUAUACAUUUUCGUUUUCCCUCCUUCCCAAUUUCAUUUUCGUUUUCCCUCUCACCCUUCCAAAACUUCCCUCUUUUCUUACCCUAAAUCCGCAUAAGCCCCUUUUCCCUUCAUUUUCAUCUCCCACCAAAGUUAUGACAAUGAAACCUCCUCCCCUAUGAGCAGGUGGCUGACGAACAAAGUUGGUUUUCAACCCUAACAUAUGGUGAUCGACUCAUAAAUCCACAUUCAACAGGGAGCCAGGGUCUAGGUAUGUCCUGUAUGUCCUUAUGUGAGAUUACCCUAUUGAAGUUUGGAGAAACUAGUGCCCGAAUACAGAGGGUUAUCAAUAUUGAGGUUAUACUUAAGGCGCAUGAUUUUGUUUUUUUGUCAAACAUGUUUGUGAACUUGUUUAUUUUCCUUUUCUAUCGAGACAUUUUGGUAUAACUGAAUUGCCCGUAAUGAACACUUGUGACUUGCAGCCAUACAUACUUACAAAUUCUCACAUAAGAAGUUGUAUUGUAUGACAAUCCGUUUACCCAUUGUUGGGAUUACAAGUAAUUAGACCUAUUCAGCCCUUGACGACUGCCUUCUGUCACAUGGAUCCAUGCCAAGAAUGCGCUUAACGAACAACAGGUGACCUAUGGCCUGGAUCCGAGGGUGGUGCAAUAACUGCCUGGCCAUGGGAAACUCUAGAAAAGGCUUUCUUAUUGCCAAAAGAAGAAAAAAACUUGGCAUAUCGGGACACUGAGAAAUCAUACAUUGAUCUCAAGAACCAAGUUGCUACGAAUGGCAUAUCUUGUAGCAUACUAUAGAUAAGGAUGCACUUCAUGUCAAACUGGCUGAUGAAUCAGUUUGUAUAGGGGAAGCUCCUAGUAAUCAGUCGUACUUGUUAAUACCUAAUGUCCUCUCUGCUGCUAUCAGUCGUAAGAUACUGUUGGGAAUUAGGAGGGCUCUAUGAUCACCUUAUCGAGAUAUAGCCAGCUAAGAAUGAGGCAACCAACUUUAAUUAAUGUUACUUGUACUUUUAUUUCAAUUAUCAAAUUCAAGUUCAAAAAUGCUCUCUAUUUUGUUUCUCAAUAGUUUAUUAUUAUUUUUUUCA